UAGGGAAUCUUCCGCAAUGGGCGAAAGCCUGACGGAGCAACGCCGCGUGAGUGAUGAAGGUCUUCGGAUCGUAAAACUCUGUUAUUAGGGAAGAACAAAUGUGUAAGUAACUAUGCACGUCUUGACGGUACCUAAUCAGAAAGCCACGGCUAACUACGUGCCAGCAGCCGCGGUAAUACGUAGGUGGCAAGCGUUAUCCGGAAUUAUUGGGCGUAAAGCGCGCGUAUGCGGUUUUUUAAGUCUGAUGUGAAAGCCCACGGCUCAACCGUGGAGGGUCAUUGGAAACUGGAAAACUUGAGUGCAGAAGAGGAAAGUGGAAUUCCAUGUGUAGCGGUGAAAUGCGCAGAGAUAUGGAGGAACACCAGUGGCGAAGGCGACUUUCUGGUCUGUAACUGACGCUGAUGUGCGAAAGCGGGGGGAUCAAACAGG
This 429-nucleotide ribosomal RNA is filed under the name Actinomycetes bacterium. RNAcentral describes it as "Actinobacteria bacterium partial 16S ribosomal RNA". It matches the Rfam family "Bacterial small subunit ribosomal RNA", at positions 355 to 776 of the family's 1533-position model. Lineage: Bacteria; Bacillati; Actinomycetota; Actinomycetes. The record is from RNAcentral.